GAACUCUUCAAGCAGAUCUGACAAUGGCUAAAAUCAUUCUCUUCCCGAAAAAGGAUAAUGAUUAUAUGGCACUUGGGAAUUAUAGACCCAUUUCCCUUAUAAAUGUGGACACAAAAAUAGUAGCAAAGGUCUUAGCUGUACGCCUAUCUCCGCUUCUCCCCAUUUUGAUUCACCCAGACCAGGUAGGUUUUAUUCCUGGAAGGCAGCUAUAUGAGACUACUCAUAGAGUUGUAGGUCUUGCAUGGCUUAUGGAGACAGAAAGGCUGCCAUCGAUGCUGCU
Molecule: non-coding RNA, 280 nt
Organism: Pelobates cultripes (western spadefoot toad)
Lineage: Eukaryota; Metazoa; Chordata; Amphibia; Anura; Pelobatidae
Source: the annotation of a GenBank genome assembly